This 478-nucleotide ribosomal RNA is filed under the name uncultured bacterium. RNAcentral's name for it is "partial 16S ribosomal RNA". It matches the Rfam family "Bacterial small subunit ribosomal RNA", at positions 28 to 507 of the family's 1533-position model. The record is from RNAcentral.
AUUGAACGCUGGCGGCAGGCCUAACACAUGCAAGUCGAGCGGAUGAAGCUAGCUUGCUCCUGGAAUCAGCGGCGGACGGGUGAGUAAUGCCUAGGAAUCUGCCUGGUAGUGUGGGAUAACGUCCGGAAACGGGCGCUGAUACCGCAUACGACCUGCGGGAGGAAGUGGGGGAUCUUCGGACCUCACGCUAUCAGAUGAGCGUAGGUCGGAUUAGCUAGUUGGUGGGGUAAUGGCCUACCAAGGCGACGAUCGGUAACCGGCCUGAGAGGAUGGUCGGCCACAUUGGGACUGGGAUACGGCCCAGACGCCGACGGGAGGCAGGAGUGGGGAAUAUUGCACAAUGGGCGGAAGCCUGAUGCAGCGACGCCGCGUGGGGGAUGACGGCCUUCGGGUUGUAAACUCCUUUCGACCGCGAGGAAGCCACCUGGUUGGAAGGGUGGUGACGGUAGUGGUAGAAGAAGCACCGGCUAACUACGUG